This is a small nuclear RNA of Dama dama (fallow deer), 103 nucleotides long. Lineage: Eukaryota; Metazoa; Chordata; Mammalia; Artiodactyla; Cervidae. The record is from RefSeq and is a predicted model, not a curated record.
GUGCUCACUUCGGCAGCACAUAUACUAAAAUUGGAAUGAUAAAAGAUUAGCAUGGCACCUGGGCAAGAAUGACAUGCAAAUUCAUAAAGCGUUCCAUAUUUUU